UAUUAAAACGGCCAUGCCGCUCGCUAGCUCCUUCGUGGUUUUGAUAAUUGUUUGUUCAAAAAGGACCCAUGCAGACUCAGUAACGCAACCAAAAGGCACCGUUCCCAUCCAGGAAGGAAAACAUGUACUUCUCCACUGCACCUAUGAUUACUCUGGGUCUACUCCUAUACUCUUCUGGUACGAGCAGUGUCCCCAUGAGGCCCCGCGCCUGUUGCUGACACAAUAUGAAGCCUCGGACGAGGAGGAGAAGAGACGCAGGCGAGGGUUCUCUGCUAAGCUCGAGAAAGACUCCAAAUCCUUCCACCUGGAGAAAAACGCCAGCGAAGUGAGCGACUCUGCUGUUUAUUACUGCGCCAUGAGAGACACAGCGAGCAAAGCCACCUGGGGAGCUGCACAAAAACCCCACUGGCUGAGAAACACAAAGGACUGA
Malaclemys terrapin pileata is the source of this 430-nucleotide non-coding RNA. NCBI's taxonomy places the organism in Eukaryota, Metazoa, Chordata, Testudines, Emydidae. The record is from the annotation of a RefSeq genome assembly.